This 882-nucleotide long non-coding RNA is filed under the name Populus tremula. RNAcentral's name for it is "long non-coding RNA (PTRE_LNC001173)". The record is from RNAcentral. Lineage: Eukaryota; Viridiplantae; Streptophyta; Magnoliopsida; Malpighiales; Salicaceae.
CGGAUUUUCGGGUCUUUUGUCUGACAUUCCUUUAGUUCAGUAUUUUCCGGGUGAGUGGAAUAAUCUUUAAUAUGCAUAUAAUAUAAAUAUAUAUGUAUGUUGAUUAUACAAUGAGUACAACUAGUAAAUUUCUUGAAUAUUUAUAUAUGUUGCUUUAUUUUUCGAGUACUCAUUUAUUCUUGAAUUUGCACUCGCAAUCUGAUAAAGUAAAUUCUAUUUGAUAUGAUAUACGUUUCUUUGAAGAUUCUGUGAAUAUAUAUUAUGCCUUGAUAUGGGACUUGUCAGUAACUCCAUGCUAACGGAGAAUAGUUAGCCUGUGUGCACAUAGUAUUCUGUUACCUAGCUGGUGAGAGAGGCAUCAGCCUGUGGCGAUUGAUCAUCCCACAGUGGUCACCGACGGGUGUCAUCUGGUCACCGACGGGUGUCAUCUGGUCACCUUCGGGUGUCAUCUGGUCACCUUCGGGUGUCAUCUGGUCACCUUCGGGUGUCAUCUGUUCUCUGACAUGUAAUCCACUACGUUAUGAUAAUAUGCUACGUUAUGAUAAUAUGCUACGUUAUGAUAAUAUGUUUAGUAAGUAUAUGUAUAUGUAUAUCAAGAUAAAUCAUCUUGCAAAUAAUAUCUGAAAUAUAUGAAAUGUAUAUUAAAUGUUAUUCCCUCACUGAGUUGGUUGGACUCACCCUCAUUUUUUUUAAUAUUAUUUCAGGUUCUUAGUUUCUGAGACUUUGUUGAGUGUUUCCGCUUCUUCAGUUCUGGUCGGUAUGCCUUGCUUGUUCGCGAGGUUUUCCUUUCAGUUUUGAUUUGAUGUCUUAGACGCUCCACUGUUACCUUGUUUUAAUUACGUUUGGAUUUUGAUAAUGUAAUGAGUAUUGUGAAUUAUUAUU